Molecule: ribosomal RNA, 253 nt
Filed under: uncultured bacterium
Lineage: Bacteria
Description: partial 16S ribosomal RNA
Rfam family: Bacterial small subunit ribosomal RNA
Source: RNAcentral
UACAGAGGUCCCAAGCGUUGUUCGGAUUCACUGGGCGUAAAGCGUGCGUAGACGGUUACAUAAGUCGGGUGUGAAAGCCCCGGGCUCAACCUGGGAAUUGCAUUCGAGACUGCGUAGCUAGGGUGCGGAAGAGGGAAGCGGAAUUUCCGGUGUAGCGGUGAAAUGCGUAGAUAUCGAGAGGAACACCUGCGGCGAAGGCGGGUUGCUGGGCUGACACUGACGCUGAUGCGCGAAAGCCAGGGGAGCGAACGGG